This 497-nucleotide ribosomal RNA is filed under the name uncultured bacterium. RNAcentral's name for it is "partial 16S ribosomal RNA". It matches the Rfam family "Bacterial small subunit ribosomal RNA", at positions 28 to 507 of the family's 1533-position model. The record is from RNAcentral.
GAUGAACGCUGGCGGCGUGCCUAAUACAUGCAAGUCGAGCGAACAGACGAGGAGCUUGCUCCUCUUACGUUAGCGGCGGACGGGUGAGUAACACGUGGAUAACCUACCUAUAAGACUGGGAUAACUUCGGGAAACCGGAGCUAAUACCGGAUAAUAUAUUGAACCGCAUGGUUCAAUAGUGAAAGACGGUUUUGCUGUCCCUUAUAGAUGGAUCCGCGCCGCAUUAGCUAGUUGGUAAGUUAACGGCUUACCAAGGCAACGAUGCGUAGCCGACCUGAGAGGGUGAUCGGCCACACUGGAACUGAGACACGGUCCAGACUCCUACGGGAGGCAGCAGUAGGGAAUCUUCCGCAAUGGGCGAAAGCCUGACGGAGCAACGCCGCGUGAGUGAUGAAGGUCUUCGGAUCGUAAAACUCUGUUAUUAGGGAAGAACAAAUGUGUAAGUAACUAUGCACGUCUUGACGGUACCUAAUCAGAAAGCCACGGCUAACUACGUG